This 468-nucleotide ribosomal RNA is filed under the name uncultured bacterium. RNAcentral describes it as "partial 16S ribosomal RNA". It matches the Rfam family "Bacterial small subunit ribosomal RNA", at positions 28 to 507 of the family's 1533-position model. The record is from RNAcentral.
GACGAACGCUGGCGGCGUGCUUAACACAUGCAAGUCGAACGGAAAGGCCCUGCUUUUGUGGGGUGCUCGAGUGGCGAACGGGUGAGUAACACGUGAGUAACCUGCUCUUGACUUUGGGAUAACUUCAGGAAACUGGGGCUAAUACCGGAUAGGAGCUCCUGCUGCAUGGUGGGGGUUGGAAAGUUUCGGCGGGUGGGGAUGGACUCGCGGCUUAUCAGCUUGUUGGUGGGGUAGUGGCUUACCAAGGCUUUGACGGGUAGCCGGCCUGAGAGGGUGACCGGCCACAAUGGGACUGAGAUACGGCCCAGACGCCUACGGGAGGCAGCGGUGGGGAAUAUUGCACAAUGGGCGGAAGCCUGAUGCGGCAACGCCGCGUGCGGGAUGACGGCCUGCGGGUUGUAAACCGCUUUCGCCUGUUACGAAGCGUGAGUGACGGUAAUGGGUAAAGAAGCACCGGCUAACUACGUG